RNAcentral lists this ribosomal RNA (465 nucleotides) under Vreelandella stevensii. RNAcentral's name for it is "partial 16S ribosomal RNA". It matches the Rfam family "Bacterial small subunit ribosomal RNA", at positions 338 to 795 of the family's 1533-position model. Lineage: Bacteria; Pseudomonadati; Pseudomonadota; Gammaproteobacteria; Oceanospirillales; Halomonadaceae. The record is from RNAcentral.
CCUACGGGAGGCUGCAGUGGGGAAUAUUGGACAAUGGGGGCAACCCUGAUCCAGCCAUGCCGCGUGUGUGAAGAAGGCCCUCGGGUUGUAAAGCACUUUCAGUGAGGAAGAACGCCUGGUGGUUAAUACCCAUCAGGAAAGACAUCACUCACAGAAGAAGCACCGGCUAACUCCGUGCCGGCAGCCGCGGUAAUACGGAGGGUGCGAGCGUUAAUCGGAAUUACUGGGCGUAAAGCGCGCGUAGGUGGCUUGAUAAGCCGGUUGUGAAAGCCCCGGGCUCAACCUGGGAACGGCAUCCGGAACUGUCAAGCUAGAGUGCAGGAGAGGAAGGUAGAAUUCCCGGUGUAGCGGUGAAAUGCGUAGAGAUCGGGAGGAAUACCAGUGGCGAAGGCGGCCUUCUGGACUGACACUGACACUGAGGUGCGAAAGCGUGGGUAGCAAACAGGAUUAGAUACCCCGGUAGUC